GUGCCAGCCGCCGCGGUAAUACGGAGGGUGCAAGCGUUACUCGGAAUCACUGGGCGUAAAGCGCAUGUAGGCGGUCUUGUAAGUUGGGUGUGAAAGCCUAUGGCUCAACCAUAGAACUGCACCCAAAACUACUAGACUAGAGUCUGGGAGAGGAAAAUGGAAUUAGUUGUGUAGGGGUAAAAUCCGUAGAGAUAACUAGGAAUACCAAAAGCGAAGGCAAUUUUCUGGAACAGUACUGACGCUCAGAUGCGAAAGCGUGGGUAGCAAACAGGAUUAGAUACCCUGGUAGUCCACGCCCUAAACGAUGAAUGUUAGUCGUCGGGAGGCUCGUCCUUUCGGUGAUGCAGUUAACACAUUAAACAUUCCGCCUGGGGAGUACUGUCGCAAGAUUAAAACUCAAAGGAAUAGACGGGGACCCGCACAAGUGGUGGAGCAUGUGGUUUAAUUCGAAGAUACGCGAAGAACCUUACCUAGCCUUGACAUUGAUAGAAUCUGAUAGAAAUAUUGGAGUGCCAGUUUACUGGAGCUUGAAAACAGGUGCUGCACGGCUGUCGUCAGCUCGUGUCGUGAGAUGUUGGGUUAAGUCCCGCAACGAGCGCAACCCUCGUCCUUAGUUACUAACGGUUCGGCCGAGGACUCUAAGGAGACUGCCUUCGUAAGGAGGAGGAAGGUGAGGACGACGUCAAGUCAUCAUGGCCCUUAUGGCUAGGGCGACACACGUGCUACAAUGGAUAGGACAAUGAGACGCAAUACCGCGAGGUGGAGCAAAUCUAUAAACCUAUUCUCAGUUCGGAUUGUAGUCUGCAACUCGACUACAUGAAGCUGGAAUCACUAGUAAUCGUAGAUCAGCCAUGCUACGGUGAAUACGUUCCCGGGUCUUGUACUCACCGCCCGUCACACCAUGGGAGUUGAUUUCACCCGAAGCGGGGAAGCUAAACUGGCUACCCUCCACGGUGGAAUCAGCGACUGGGGUGAAGUCGUAACAAGGUAACC
This 993-nucleotide ribosomal RNA is filed under the name uncultured bacterium. RNAcentral's name for it is "bacterial SSU rRNA". It matches the Rfam family "Bacterial small subunit ribosomal RNA", at positions 505 to 1501 of the family's 1533-position model. The record is from RNAcentral.